UAGCUCAAUUGGUAGAGCAUCGGAUUCCAAAUCCGGCGGUUUCGGGUUCGACUCCUGACG
Molecule: transfer RNA, 60 nt
Filed under: Gammaproteobacteria bacterium
Lineage: Bacteria; Pseudomonadati; Pseudomonadota; Gammaproteobacteria
Description: tRNA-Trp
Rfam family: tRNA
About the family: Transfer RNA (tRNA) molecules are approximately 80 nucleotides in length. Their secondary structure includes four short double-helical elements and three loops (D, anti-codon, and T loops). Further hydrogen bonds mediate the characteristic L-shaped molecular structure. tRNAs have two regions of fundamental functional importance: the anti-codon, which is responsible for specific mRNA codon recognition, and the 3' end, to which the tRNAs corresponding amino acid is attached (by aminoacyl-tRNA synthetases). tRNAs cope with the degeneracy of the genetic code in two manners: having more than one tRNA (with a specific anti-codon) for a particular amino acid; and 'wobble' base-pairing, i.e. permitting non-standard base-pairing at the 3rd anti-codon position.
Source: RNAcentral